GAAACUCUCAAAUUCUCCCCCGGUUUGGAAAUGGCUGAUGCCUUUGGGGAGAAAAUUCUGCGUUCGAUGGACAUGGGUAUGACUAUACAGCAUCAGCCAUGGGAACAUCAAUUGCCUUGGGAACCGAUGUGGGGAAAAAACUGUAAUUGCUUCUAAGUCGCUUAAAGGAAGCUCUCAGAUGCUAGAAUCAAGCUCUGGAAAUAGACUGGAAAGGGCUGGAAGGUCACAAUGAAACCUGCCUGUUCAAGGUUUGAUAAGACUAAACAGUCCAAAGAUUUGACAGUCCUGACACCUGGCAUAUGAAAGAUGGAAUUCCUGAAUGGAAAUUAUUCUUACUGAACUUCUCUGAAGAGUUUUGGCUGGAAAGAAGUAUCUUUUCCAAUGCCAGUACAUU
This is a long non-coding RNA of Mustela erminea (ermine), 394 nucleotides long. RefSeq lists it as uncharacterized. NCBI's taxonomy places the organism in Eukaryota, Metazoa, Chordata, Mammalia, Carnivora, Mustelidae. The transcript has 4 exons. The record is from RefSeq and is a predicted model, not a curated record.